This 467-nucleotide ribosomal RNA is filed under the name uncultured bacterium. Its description in RNAcentral is "partial 16S ribosomal RNA". It matches the Rfam family "Bacterial small subunit ribosomal RNA", at positions 28 to 506 of the family's 1533-position model. The record is from RNAcentral.
GACGAACGCUGGCGGCGUGCUUAACACAUGCAAGUCGAACGGAAAGGCCCUGCUUUUGUGGGGUGCUCGAGUGGCGAACGGGUGAGUAACACGUGAGUAACCUGCCCUUGACUUUGGGAUAACUUCAGGAAACUGGGGCUAAUACCGGAUAGGAGCUCCUGCUGCAUGGUGGGGGUUGGAAAGUUUCGGCGGUUGGGGAUGGACUCGCGGCUUAUCAGCUUGUUGGUGGGGUAGUGGCUUACCAAGGCUUUGACGGGUAGCCGGCCUGAGAGGGUGACCGGCCACAUGGGGACUGAGAUACGGCCCAGACUCCUACGGGAGGCAGCAGUGGGGAAUAUUGCACAAUGGGCGGAAGCCUGAUGCAGCAACGCCGCGUGCGGGAGGACGGCCUUCGGGUUGUAAACCGCUUUCGCCUGUGACGAAGCGUGAGUGAUGGUAAUGGGUAAAGAAGCACCGGCUAACUACGU